AGAGUUUGAUCCUGGCUCAGGACGAACGCUGGCGGCGUGCCUAAUACAUGCAAGUCGAACGCUUCUUUUUCCACCGGAGCUUGCUCCACCGGAAAAAGAGGAGUGGCGAACGGGUGAGUAACACGUGGGUAACCUGCCCAUCAGAAGGGGAUAACACUUGGAAACAGGUGCUAAUACCGUAUAACAAUCGAAACCGCAUGGUUUUGAUUUGAAAGGCGCUUUCGGGUGUCGCUGAUGGAUGGACCCGCGGUGCAUUAGCUAGUUGGUGAGGUAACGGCUCACCAAGGCCACGAUGCAUAGCCGACCUGAGAGGGUGAUCGGCCACAUUGGGACUGAGACACGGCCCAAACUCCUACGGGAGGCAGCAGUAGGGAAUCUUCGGCAAUGGACGAAAGUCUGACCGAGCAACGCCGCGUGAGUGAAGAAGGUUUUCGGAUCGUAAAACUCUGUUGUUAGAGAAGAACAAGGAUGAGAGUAACUGUUCAUCCCUUGACGGUAUCUAACCAGAAAGCCACGGCUAACUACGUGCCAGCAGCCGCGGUAAUACGUAGGUGGCAAGCGUUGUCCGGAUUUAUUGGGCGUAAAGCGAGCGCAGGCGGUUUCUUAAGUCUGAUGUGAAAGCCCCCGGCUCAACCGGGGAGGGUCAUUGGAAACUGGGAGACUUGAGUGCAGAAGAGGAGAGUGGAAUUCCAUGUGUAGCGGUGAAAUGCGUAGAUAUAUGGAGGAACACCAGUGGCGAAGGCGGCUCUCUGGUCUGUAACUGACGCUGAGGCUCGAAAGCGUGGGGAGCAAACAGGAUUAGAUACCCUGGUAGUCCACGCCGUAAACGAUGAGUGCUAAGUGUUGGAGGGUUUCCGCCCUUCAGUGCUGCAGCUAACGCAUUAAGCACUCCGCCUGGGGAGUACGACCGCAAGGUUGAAACUCAAAGGAAUUGACGGGGGCCCGCACAAGCGGUGGAGCAUGUGGUUUAAUUCGAAGCAACGCGAAGAACCUUACCAGGUCUUGACAUCCUUUGACCACUCUAGAGAUAGAGCUUCCCCUUCGGGG
RNAcentral lists this ribosomal RNA (1047 nucleotides) under Enterococcus faecium EnGen0041. Its description in RNAcentral is "bacterial SSU rRNA". It matches the Rfam family "Bacterial small subunit ribosomal RNA", at positions 8 to 1025 of the family's 1533-position model. Lineage: Bacteria; Bacillati; Bacillota; Bacilli; Lactobacillales; Enterococcaceae. The record is from RNAcentral.